UACGUAGGGUGCAAGCGUUAAUCGGAAUUACUGGGCGUAAAGCGUGCGCAGGCGGUUUUGUAAGUCUGACGUGAAGUCCCCGGGCUCAACCUGGGAAUUGCGUUGGAGACUGCAAGGCUGGAGUCUGGCAGAGGGGGGUAGAAUUCCACGUGUAGCAGUGAAAUGCGUAGAGAUGUGGAGGAACACCGAUGGCGAAGGCAGCCCCCUGGGUCAAGACUGACGCUCAUGCAUGAAAGCGUGGGGAGCAAACAGG
RNAcentral lists this ribosomal RNA (253 nucleotides) under uncultured bacterium. RNAcentral describes it as "partial 16S ribosomal RNA". It matches the Rfam family "Bacterial small subunit ribosomal RNA", at positions 524 to 776 of the family's 1533-position model. The record is from RNAcentral.